RNAcentral lists this small RNA (618 nucleotides) under Histoplasma capsulatum var. duboisii H88. RNAcentral's name for it is "Histoplasma capsulatum H88 hypothetical RNA". The record is from RNAcentral. Lineage: Eukaryota; Fungi; Ascomycota; Eurotiomycetes; Onygenales; Ajellomycetaceae.
CGCAUCGAGGUAUCCGCGGUCUUGUGGCCACGUGAGCGUGUUUCUCUCCUCCAUCCAUUGCUUCCUCACCUCCACUGUCACCUUCAUUCGCAUGCAAGGCUCCGCCACGACCAUUCAACUGUCCAAUCCAAGAGCUCAUCCCAGCUGCAUGAUGCAUUGAACAGUGGACUAGCGCUUGUUUCGACUCAAGCAAAGGUAACCUCCCCAGAGCGCAUCAUACUGCAAUCCCUUGUUGAAGAUGUCGAGCAAGGCAAAAAACAUCCCAGACUGCCAACGCGAACAAUGUUAUGCGGGAGAGGCCCAGCGAGAUUUAUUACACUACGCACAGGUUGAAUUGAUGCUGCCACUAAUAAAAAUCUUCAAGUCCUUCCGACACGGUCAUCCCAACCUUUGACAACUACUAGGACCUCCAUAGUACUAAAAGCAACUUCAAGAGUGAUCCCUUUUGCUUUCGGUAAAGCUUUCUCAAAAUUUUAGGACGACUAGACCCAAGCGAUCUGAAGCAAGUUACUGUCGAUCGUUCCAAACCAACGACCUGAGGUAAACCAAUUCAAUGCCUCAAUGUUCAUACUCUGAAUCCGCGAUAUCCUUGGUUUCAUUCAUUUUAGAAUUGCCGGA